GAUGAACGCUGGCGGCGUGCCUAAUACAUGCCAGUCGAGCGAACGGACGAUGAGCUUGCUGCGCGGAUGUGAGGGGCGGACGGGUGAGUAACGCGUGUAUAAUGCACCUAUAUGAGGGGGAUAACUUCGGGAAAGGGGAGCUAAUACGGGAGAAGAUUUUGAAGCGCAGGGUGCAAUAGUGAAAGACGGUGUUGCUGUCACGUAUAGAUGGAUCCGCGCUGGAUUAGCUGGUUGGUAAGGUAACGGCUUACCAAGGCUACGAUGCAUAGCCGAACGGAGAGGGUGAUCGGCCACACUGGAACGUAGACACGGUCCAGACUACUACGGGAGGCCGCAGUCGGGAAUGUUCCGCAAUAGGCGAAAGCCUGACGGAGCGACGCCGAGUGAGUGAUGAAGGUCUUCGGAUCGUAAAACUCUGUUAUUAGGGAAGAACAUAUGUGUAAGUAACUGUGCACAUCUUGACGGUACCUAAUAAGAAAGCAACGGCUAACUACGUG
RNAcentral lists this ribosomal RNA (497 nucleotides) under uncultured bacterium. Its description in RNAcentral is "partial 16S ribosomal RNA". It matches the Rfam family "Bacterial small subunit ribosomal RNA", at positions 28 to 507 of the family's 1533-position model. The record is from RNAcentral.